UACGAAGGGGGCUAGCGUUGCUCGGAAUCACUGGGCGUAAAGCGCACGUAGGCGGCUUUCUAAGUCAGGGGUGAAAUCCUGGAGCUCAACUCCAGAACUGCCUUUGAUACUGGAGAGCUUGAGUUCGGGAGAGGUGAGUGGAACUGCGAGUGUAGAGGUGAAAUUCGUAGAUAUUCGCAAGAACACCAGUGGCGGAGGCGGCUCACUGGCCCGAUACUGACGCUGAGGUGCGAAAGCGUGGGGAGCAAACAGG
RNAcentral lists this ribosomal RNA (253 nucleotides) under uncultured bacterium. Its description in RNAcentral is "partial 16S ribosomal RNA". It matches the Rfam family "Bacterial small subunit ribosomal RNA", at positions 524 to 776 of the family's 1533-position model. The record is from RNAcentral.